ACGGGAAAUAAGGGACGAUCGGAUUCGGCGGAGGCGGCGUAGGAUAGUUUCCUGAAUACGGCGGAGGAUAGUAAUAACCUUGACCACCGCCACCGUAAGGUGGAGGGUAUUUGCUGCCUCCACCGGACUGAGAAGGAGGAGGGUAAUAGUAAGAGCUACCGCCACCGCUACUGCCGCCGGAUCUUGGAGGAGAAGGAGGGGGAGGACAUGCGGUUGUGGGUGUUGACGGUGGUGGAGGAGAAGGCGGCGGUGGAGAAGAUUGGACGGGACUACAUGGAUUGUCGCAUGAAGAACACAUUGUACAAGAAACAACCUCGUCUUUAGAUGUUACAGUCGGUAUCACUGUCGGUGUCACUGACAUUAGCAGUAUAACAACAAGUGUAGAAAAAGUGUAUAAAUGGUUUGUUUCCAUUGUCAGAAAUUGGAUUUAGAAACUUAGUUUUGUGUAAAAUAUACAGAGAAAGAAGAUGAGAGAGCGAGAG
This 482-nucleotide long non-coding RNA is filed under the name Arabidopsis lyrata. Its description in RNAcentral is "long non-coding RNA (ALYR_LNC000578)". Lineage: Eukaryota; Viridiplantae; Streptophyta; Magnoliopsida; Brassicales; Brassicaceae. The record is from RNAcentral.